GGAGCGGUGGCCGAGCGGUCGAAGGCGGCGGUCUUGAAAACCGUUGUAGGGAAACUUACCGGGGGUUCGAAUCCCUCCCGCUCCG
This 85-nucleotide transfer RNA is filed under the name Treponema sp. RNAcentral's name for it is "tRNA-Ser". It matches the Rfam family "tRNA". Rfam says of the family: Transfer RNA (tRNA) molecules are approximately 80 nucleotides in length. Their secondary structure includes four short double-helical elements and three loops (D, anti-codon, and T loops). The record is from RNAcentral. RNAcentral also lists the same sequence under 1 other name. Lineage: Bacteria; Pseudomonadati; Spirochaetota; Spirochaetia; Treponematales; Treponemataceae.